UACAGAGGUCUCAAGCGUUGUUCGGAUUCAUUGGGCGUAAAGGGUGCGUAGGCGGCGCGGUAAGUCGGGUGUGAAAACCUGCAGCUUAACUGUGGGCGUGCGGUCGAUACGGGCAUCACUGGAGUUCGGCAGGGGAGACUGGAAUUCCUGGUGUAGCGGUGAAAUGCGCAGAUAUCAGGAGGAACACCGAUAGUGAAGACAGCUUACUAGGCUGUAACUGACGCUGAGGCACGAAAGUGUGGGGAUCAAACAGG
Molecule: ribosomal RNA, 254 nt
Filed under: uncultured bacterium
Lineage: Bacteria
Description: partial 16S ribosomal RNA
Rfam family: Bacterial small subunit ribosomal RNA
Source: RNAcentral